ACGUAGGGUGCGAGCGUUAAUCGGAAUUACUGGGCGUAAAGCGUGCGCAGGCGGUUCGCUAAGACAGGUGUGAAAUCCCCGGGCUUAACCUGGGAAUGGCGCUUGUGACUGGCGGGCUGGAGUACGGCAGAGGGAGGUGGAAUUCCACGUGUAGCAGUGAAAUGCGUAGAGAUGUGGAGGAACGCCGGUGGCGAAAGCGGCUCUUUGGCCCGUAACUGACGCUGAGGCGCGAAAGCCAGGGGAGCAAACG
RNAcentral lists this ribosomal RNA (250 nucleotides) under uncultured bacterium. RNAcentral describes it as "partial 16S ribosomal RNA". It matches the Rfam family "Bacterial small subunit ribosomal RNA", at positions 525 to 774 of the family's 1533-position model. The record is from RNAcentral.